Molecule: long non-coding RNA, 3090 nt
Organism: Scylla paramamosain (green mud crab)
Lineage: Eukaryota; Metazoa; Arthropoda; Malacostraca; Decapoda; Portunidae
Exons: 4
Source: RefSeq, a predicted model, not a curated record
CACCUUGCUAGCCAAUUAUUCCUGCAUUUUUAUUUAAACUCACGGUUCAGUAAAAUUAUUUGUGAAAGAAGAGAGAGAGAGAACUAGCUAAGGUUCCAAUAACUUCAGAGGCCUGUGGGUGUUGAGGGAGAGAGCACAGAAUGGCGUCUCCCUUCCCUCUGGCAACAGAGUGAGGGCAGUGUCAUUCCUCCUGUCCACUACCCCAACUUCUACUCCCAACACUACCACAACAAUGAGCGGUCUGGUGUGGUGGCUGAGGAUUCUUUUGAAGAGGACAAUGCUUCUGCUUCAUCUGAGCAGCUUGAAGCUGCCUGCAGAAAUAGGCAAAACAGCAACUGACGAAAGAAUAAAGUUGAAGGAAACUGGAGUUUCCCUGCAAAACAAGCUAUCAAGAAGACCUAUACAAUGUGUGUUCAAAGUGUCUGGCUAAGAGUUGGAGAUCUGGCAGAGAAGCUGUGGCCAGAGGAAGGAGGCUUGGCUGCUGCACCAGACCCAUAGACCACAUCUUUGGAGUGGCUUUGGCCUUGAGGUGCAGCCAGGUAGCUGUAGCUCACCACCUGCCAGAGAAAAGCUUUUUUAACCUCACUGCCUGCCAGGGAAGAGCUUUUUUAAUUUCCAUUUUAAUCUUACAUGAUUAAGGUCAUAUGAUUAAUAGUUAUACCAUCUUCUGUAUAUCUAGCCUGGAGGUUGAGAUGUGAUGGAAUGAUUCCAAAUGUGAAUGUAUACCAUAUUAAAUCCUUGUCUCUACUUUCCUCCAAAUGAGAUCCAUGGGCCUUGUAAAAAAAAGUUGGGAGUCCAAUCUUUUAAAACUAGUAACUCUAAUAUUAGAGAUUUGAGAGACAGAAUGAAGCAUUUAUAAAUCUGUACAUUCUUUCAAUUUUUUUUCACCAUUUUUGAAUGGCAUAUUGGAGUGAUUUGAGUCAGAAAUAACAAUUUUGAACACUUUUGUUUCUAUUUGUUGGUAAUGUGUAAUACCACUGAUGAGAGACAAACUUUGUGCUUGGAAGGAAAGAACUGACACCCUUUCUCUAUAAAUUCUGCUUCACUGCAUGCCACAAGUUUUAUAAUUUAUAUCAGAACUAUUUCUAGACUAACCACUUCAUAAGCAUAAUCAUUUUGUCAUCACAGUUUUCACUAUGCUGCCUUAUCACCAUUGUGCUACAGUGAUCUCAGAUGCUUCUGAUUUCAUAAUGAAAGUUAGGGUUCACUUUAAAACCAGUUGACAACUGAUAGUCUAAAUUCCAAUCCAAGAAAUGAAUUUUGUAUCAUCAAUGAAUGAAAGUGCUUGAUUGUUCUACAAGUUUGGUGAGGAUUGAGGUUGCUGGUUAGUUCUGGGGAGUAGAUUAGUAAAAUUCUGAAGAAGUAUUUUUUAACUGUCUUCACCCAGGAAAACAUGCAGGAAAUGCUGGAUAGUGAAAUUUUUAGAGCAGAAGAGAAUGAGAAGCUGAAAGAUAUUACCAUAAUUAAGGAGAUAGUGGAACAGGUGAUAGAUAGGCUAAGAAAGUUCAAGACACCAAGACCAGAUGAAAUAUAUCCCAGAGUAGUUGGGUUUAGGAAGGGGGAUAAAACCCAGGGAGGAGGUAGGAUUCUUUUAAUCUCUAACGUUUCAGCUGAAUAGCCAUCCUCAGAGAGACUGAUUUACAUGAGUGAAAACACAUUAUUUAUAACAACAAACAAAAUUUUCUCAUAUGACAUUCGUACAGAGUAUUGCCAUCCUGGCGUGUACCUCACCUAAUUUUAUUUUCCUAGUCAGGUGGCAUUAUUCGCCUACGUGACGAGCCUUUACUGGGGAUUUUCCUUGUACCUGACCUGAGGGCCAAUCUGGCGGAAUUAUCCACCCACCUGAUAAAACCUUCUCUGUGGUUAAUGACUUCCCUAGUUGUUUUGAGGGCUGCCUCUAUAGCUUUUCUCAUUCUUUUCUUCAAUCCAACUUAAAUUUCUUUAGCCUCUUCCCAUUUUGGUAGGUGAUUACAUUUUUCUAUGUUCAAUACAAGGGAGUUUGAUGUGUUGUGUUUUAAAACAUCUUUCCUAUGCUCUGCUAUUCUUGUUUUAAGUCCCCUGCCUGUUUCUCCUAUGUACUGCUUUGUACAACCUUUGCAUGGUAUGCUGUACACUACGCUGUUAUUAUUAACAAGUCCGGUCUCUUUAGUCCUCGUUAGCUCACCAAUUUUCUCUCCCGCUAAUGUUGCUAUUUUUAAUCCUGUUCUAGACAAAUAUUUAUUAAUUAUGGAAGCCUUGUCCGAAUUUGGUACACAUGUAUAACUCUCUCUUUUGCUGGUUGUACAGAGAUCUUUAUUCUCUUUGUUUUCAGUUGUUAUUUUCUUUGCCUUAUUCUUAAGCCUAACAAGGAGCCCUUCAGGAUAACCCAGCUUUUUGAAAGUUGAUAUGAUAUAUCAUAUUUCUUGCUCUAGGAAGUUGUUGCUGCAAAUUCUGAACGCUCUUAAGUAAAAACCAAUAAUCACAUCAGAUUUGAUUCUCAUGCUGUGGGCUGAAAGGUAGUGAAUGAAAUCGUCCUUAUUGGACAUUCAUUCACUUGUUAAUAAUAACAGCGUAGUGUACAGCAUACCAUGCAAAGGUUGUACAAAGCAGUACAUAGGAGAAACAGGCAGGGGACUUAAAACAAGAAUAGCAGAGCAUAGGAAAGAUGUUUUAAAAUGCAACACAUCAAACUCCCUUGUAUUGCACAUAGAAAAAUGUAAACACCUACCAAAAUGGGAAGAGGCUAAGAAAUUAAAGUUGGAUUGAAGAAAAGAAUAAGAAAAGCUAUAGAGGCAGCCCUCAUAACAACUAGGGGAGUCAUUAACCACAGAGAAGGUUUUAUCAGGUGGGCGGGUAAUUCCGCCAGAUUGGCCCUCAGGUCAGGUACAAGGAAAAUCCCCAGUAAAGGCUCGUCACGUAGGCGGAUAAUGCCACCUGACUAGGAAAAUAAAAUUAGGUGAGGUACACGCCAGGAUGGCAAUACUCUGUACGAAUGUCAAAUGAGAAAAUUUUGUAUGUUGUUAUAAAUAGUGUGUUUUCACUCAUGUAAAUCAGUCUCUCUGAGGAUGGCUAUUCAGCCAAAAUGUUAGAGAUUAAAAGAAUCCUAACUCC